UCUUAAACUUAAAGGAAUUGAACGGAAGGGCACCACCAGGAGUGGAGCCUGCGACUUAAUUUGACUCAACACGGGAAACCUCACCAGGCCCAGACACCGGAAGGAUUGACAGAUUGAGAGCUCUUUCUUGAUUCGGUGGGUGGUGGUGCAUGGCCGUUCUUAGUUGGUGGAGCGAUUUAUCUGGUUAAUUCCGAUAACGAACGAGACUCUAGCCUGCUAAACAGGCGUUCAUUUCCGAUAUCUCAAGGGCAGGCGCUCGGAUCCGUACGUCGCGUGUUCUCGUCGUGUGCGCUGCGCGCGUGCGUCGCGUGCUCGCGUUUCGUACGUCGCGCGCGUGCGCGUCGUCGCGUCUCGCGUUCGUCCGUUUCUACGGGCCGUGCGUUCGCUUGUGCGCGCCUCCGCGUUCGCGUACGGGCGGCAUCGGCGUGCGCCGUGCGUGUGCGGUUUUUACUAUCGGCGUAAAUAGAAAUCUUCUUAGAGGGACAGGCGGAUCCUAUCCGCACGAGAUUGAGCAAUAACAGGUCUGUGAUGUCCUUAGAUGUUCUGGGCCGCACGCGCGCUACACUGAAGGAAUCAGCGUGUCCUCCGCUGGCCGAAAGGUCCGGGUAACCCGCUGAACCUCCUUCGUGCUAGGGAUUGGGGCUUGCAAUUGUUCCCUAUGAACGAGGAAUUCCCAGUAAGCGCGAGUCAUAAGCUCGCGUUGAUUGCGUCCCUGCCCUUUGUACGCACCGCCCGUCGCUACUACCGAUUGAAUGAUUUAGUGAGGUCUUCGGACCGGUGCGCGGCAGCGUUUUGACAUUGCCGCCGUUGCUGGGAAGAUGACCAAACUUGAUCAUUUUAGAGGAAGUAAAAGUCGUAACAAGGUU
RNAcentral lists this ribosomal RNA (866 nucleotides) under Chauliodes sp. CASENT8092160. RNAcentral's name for it is "bacterial SSU rRNA". It matches the Rfam family "Eukaryotic small subunit ribosomal RNA", at positions 1136 to 1801 of the family's 1831-position model. The record is from RNAcentral. Lineage: Eukaryota; Metazoa; Arthropoda; Insecta; Megaloptera; Corydalidae.